GUGGGGAAUAUUGGACAAUGGGCGAAAGCCUGAUCCAGCCAUGCCGCGUGUGUGAAGAAGGUCUUCGGAUUGUAAAGCACUUUAAGUUGGGAGGAAGGGCAGUAAGUUAAUACCUUGCUGUUUUGACGUUACCGACAGAAUAAGCACCGGCUAACUUCGUGCCAGCAGCCGCGGUAAUACGAAGGGUGCAAGCGUUAAUCGGAAUUACUGGGCGUAAAGCGCGCGUAGGUGGUUUUGUAAGUUGGAGGUGAAAUCCCCGGGCUCAACCUGGGAACUGACUCCAAAACUGCAUGACUAGAGUACGGUAGAGGGUAGUGGAAUUUCCUGUGUAGCGGUGAAAUGCGUAGAUAUAGGAAGGAACACCAGUGGCGAAGGCGACCACCUGGACUGAUACUGACACUGAGGUGCGAAAGCGUGGGGAGCAAACAGGAUUAGAAACCCGGGUAGUCC
This 450-nucleotide ribosomal RNA is filed under the name uncultured bacterium. Its description in RNAcentral is "partial 16S ribosomal RNA". It matches the Rfam family "Bacterial small subunit ribosomal RNA", at positions 354 to 796 of the family's 1533-position model. The record is from RNAcentral.